AAUUCAUGGUAGUGCCCCAAGGCACUCUGGCACCCAGUUUUGGAACUGCAGUUUUAAAAGUCAUAAAUUGAAUGAAAAUGAUAGCAAAGGUGGAGGUUUUUAAAGAGCUAUUUAUAGGUCCCUGGACAGCAUCUUUUUUCAAUUAGGCAGCAACCUUUUUGCCCUAUGCCGUAACCUGUGUCUGCAACUUCCUCUAAUUGGGAAAUAGUUAAGCAGAUUCAUAGAGCUGAAUGAUAAAAUUGUACUACGAGAUGCACUGGGACUCAACGUGACCUUAUCAAGUGAGGACCCACUAACAGGGGCUGCAUUUACACCAAAACCAUGAAGGUGGCCCAAGUCAUCACUGAGAAGUAGUACAAGCACCGAGGGAAUGACUUCAACAGGAACAAGAAAGCGUGGAAGGAGAUCCUAGCAGGAAGCUCCACAAGAAGAUAGCAUGUUACGUCUUGCAUUGGAUGAAGCAGGUUCAGAGAGACCUAGUGACAGCUAUCUCCGUCAAGGUGCAGAAGGAGAGAUCAUUGAAGUAGAUUUUCAUGCAAAAAAAAAAAUGUUGAAGUCUUUGGACUUCGGGAGUCUGUCCAAACUGCAGGUCACUCAGCCUACAGUUGGGAUGAAUUUCAAAACACCAGUUGGAGCCGGUUGAAUCUUUCUGCUAUGCUGUAAUAUUUUCAGUAAACCCAGAACAACAACAACAACAAAACACAAUGGAGGAGAAGCAGCCAAGUCUCUUGGUUUACAGAGUAGCUCCUAAUACCCCUUGCUGUCUGUCUCAGUGCCCAAUGGGAAGAUAGUCAAAACAAUAUUCACACCUGUGAUUCAUCUCUCUACAUGCAGUGUGUGUGAAUCUUUAUAUACUGCAUAUUAAGGAUCUGUCUUUACAGAUAAAAACUAAAGCAUUGAAGGAACUCCUUGUUUUGACUUAUCAAAGUCCUUAAGAAAAUACUAGAAAAUUAUAGCCAUUGUUUCAAAUUUUAGCUUUAUAUUAUCACUUGAAAUGUGAUGAAAUGUGGCUGAUAGAUAAUAAUUCACUGAUAACCUACAGACAAUUCCCAUCUUAAAAUGGACCAUUGGAUUGAAGAAUUAAAUAAAAUUGAGGGUUUUCCUUACAUGUUUUGUCUAAAGAGCGAAGUAGAAACAACUGUUCAUAGAUCUUCAUUGAGGAUUCGCAUGUGAACAGGCUUGGUGCAUUUGACACUUCAUGAUAUCAGCCAAAGUGGAACUAAAAACAGCUCCUGGAAGAGGACUAUGACAUCAUCAGGUUGGGAGUCUCCAGGGACAGCGGACCCUUUGGAAAAGGACUAGAAAGUGUGAAAUCUAUUAGUCUUCGAUAUGAAAUUCUCUGUCUCUGUAAAAGCAUUUCAUAUUUACAAGACACAGGCCUACUCCUAGGGCAGCAAAAAGUGGCAACAGGCAAGCAGAGGGAAAAGAGAUCAUGAGGCAUUUCAGAGUGCACUGUCUUUUCAUAUAUUUCUCAAUGCCGUAUGUUUGGUUUUAUUUUGGCCAAGCAUAACAAUCUGCUCAAGAAAAAAAAAUCUGGAGAAAACAAAGGUGCCUUUGCCAAUGUUAUGUUUCUUUUUGACAAGCCCUGAGAUUUCUGAGGGGAAUUCACAUAAAUGGGAUCAGGUCAUUCAUUUACGUUGUGUGCAAAUAUGAUUUAAAGAUACAACCUUUGCAGAGAGCAUGCUUUCCUAAGGGUAGGCACGUGGAGGACUAAGGGUAAAGCAUUCUUCAAGAUCAGUUAAUCAAGAAAGGUGCUCUUUGCAUUCUGAAAUGCCCUUGUUGCAAAUAUUGGUUAUAUUGAUUAAAUUUACACUUAAUGGAAACAACCUUUAACUUACAGAUGAACAAACCCACAAAAGCAAAAAAUCAAAAGCCCUACCUAUGAUUUCAUAUUUUCUGUGUAACUGGAUUAAAGGAUUCCUGCUUGCUUUUGGGCAUAAAUGAUAAUGGAAUAUUUCCAGGUAUUGUUUAAAAUGAGGGCCCAUCUACAAAUUCUUAGCAAUACUUUGGAUAAUUCUAAAAUUCAGCUGGACAUUGUCUAAUUGUUUUUUAUAUACAUCUUUGCUAGAAUUUCAAAUUUUAAGUAUGUGAAUUUAGUUAAUUAGCUGUGCUGAUCAAUUCAAAAACAUUACUUUCCUAAAUUUUAGACUAUGAAGGUCAUAAAUUCAACAAAUAUAUCUACACAUACAAUUAUAGAUUGUUUUUCAUUAUAAUGUCUUCAUCUUAACAGAAUUGUCUUUGUGAUUGUUUUUAGAAAACUGAGAGUUUUAAUUCAUAAUUACUUGAUCAAAAAAUUGUGGGAACAAUCCAGCAUUAAUUGUAUGUGAUUGUUUUUAUGUACAUAAGGAGUCUUAAGCUUGGUGCCUUGAAGUCUUUUGUACUUAGUCCCAUGUUUAAAAUUACUACUUUAUAUCUAAAGCAUUUAUGUUUUUCAAUUCAAUUUACAUGAUGCUAAUUAUGGCAAUUAUAACAAAUAUUAAAGAUUUCGAAAUAGAAUAUGUGAAUUGUUCACAUACAUAGAAAUGAAAAGUUCAUUUCGUAAAGCAAGAUGCUGGGUGAAAGAGUGCUUUUGAUUGAAAGAUCACUAGAUUAGUAGAGGGCAAGACUUCUAGUCCCUAAUCUACCCUUAAUAGCCAUGUGGUCACGUGUAAGUCAGUGAACCCAUCUCAUUCUCCUCAUACUUUUUUCAUCUCUAAAAUGAGGGUAUAAUUUAAGCUCUUCAUUUUUUUUUUUUUUUGAGAUAGAGUUUUGCUCUUGUCACCCAGGUUGGAGUGCAAUGGCACGAUCUCAGCUCACUGCAACCCUCUGCUUCCUCGGUUCAAGUGAUUCUCCUGCUUCAGCCUCCCAAGUAGCCGGGAUUACAGGUGCCCGCCACCACAUCUGGCUAAUUUUUUGUAUUUUCACCAUGUUGGCCAGGCUGGUCUCGAACCCCUACCUCAGGUGAUCCCUCGCCUCGGCCUCUCAAAGUGCUGGGAUUACAGGUGUGAGCCACCACGCCCAGCCCAAUAUCAGUUUUUCUUUUUUAACACAAGGCUAACACAAUCAAAAUACUAGCUAGGGGAGAAAAAAAAAAUAAGGCACUGUUUAUGUGUAACAGGCUCUUGUUGCAAUCACUGGGCAGACAAUAAACAGUAAGAAUCAAUCCUUUUCAUAUAUCCUUCUUGCAGAAUACAUAAAAUCCCACAAAUGGCUAUCUUCCUUUUUAUGAUAUUUGGAGAAUUGUAGCUAAGUGACAGAUAUUUUGCUUGGGUGUAUAGACCACAAAGGACUGUGUUUGAUGAUGGUUUGCAUAAAAUUAUACCUUAGUUUUUACUUUGUAUGUUACAUGUUAGAUUUAGAGUAUGAAAAUUAGUAGGGAGGAUUAUUAACAAAGAACAGGGCAAGAGGAGUAGAAUUAAACCUCUUCUAAUACCUGUGCACAAGUAGGCUUUUCAGAAACUCUACAACCCUACAUAAACUGGAUAGUUAGAAAAGCACACUCCCAAGGAAGGCGGUUAUGUUUUGCAGUUUGAAUCAGAAGAAUAGAGCUAUAGCAAUCUUCAUUCUAUAGUAACAUUAAAGAGCCUGGUUUAUAUUAUAGCAGUCAUUAAGAUUUAAAAAUUUACAUCUUGCCGUUCUUCUUACUCACAGAUUUUCGAGAGGUAAUGUAAUGAUCCACGAGGUGAGAAUCACUGCCUUUUAUAAUGCGAUUAAAUUGCAUGAACAAAGUUUCCAACAAAUAACAGUAAUAAAAAGAAACAUGUAUUAGCACUUAAUAAGCCAGGUGCUGUACGACGUGUGUUACAUGCUUUCAAUCCAUGAACUGGUAAACUGGUACUAGUAUCUCUAUUGGACAUGUGAGGAAACCAAAUGGAGUUGAUAAACAGUAGAGUUAAAAAUUACUCUUCAUAUAUUAUAUUGCCUCAAUCUCACAGACAUCUCUGCUACCAAAAGCUAUCAUAUCUAGAUAUGCGGCAUAAGGAUGACCUUGGGGCACACUAGAAUUCUUUGAGAGAAUUCUGGCAGAGAAAACAAAUAUUUAUUCCUACAAUAAAACCCAGCAUUUUACAGGUUUUAUUUUUAACUAUGAAGUAUUGUUAUCUGUAUCUUUCAUAUAAGUGUGCCCGGAAUUUAUUUCUUCUGGUGGGUUCUUGGUCUCGCUGACUCCAAGAAUGAAACCGCAGACCCUUGAGGUGAGUGUCACAGUUCUUAAAGAUGGUGUGUUCAGAGUUUGUUCCUUCAGAUGUUCAGAUGUGUCCGGAGUUUCUCCCUUAUGGUGAGUUCGUGGUCUCGCUGACUUCAACAAUGAAGCCGCAGACCUUUGCAGUGAGUGUGUGACAGUUCUUAAAGGCAGUGCGUCCAGAGUUGUUUGUUCCUCCCGGUAGGUUCGUGGUCUCGCUGAUGUCAGGAAUGAAGCUGCAGACCCUCGCGGUAAGUGUUACAGCUCAUAAAGGUAGUGCAAACCCAAACAGUGAGCAGUAGCAAGAUUUAUUAUGAAGAGCAAAAGAACAAAGCUUCCCCACCAUAGAAACGGACCAGAAUUGGUUGCUGCUGCUGUGGUAGCCAGCUUUUAUUCCCUUAUUUGGCCACACCCACAUCCUGCUGAUUGGCCCAUUUUACAGAAUGCUGAUUGGUCCAUUUUAUAGCGUGCUGAUUGGUGCGUUUUUACAGAGUGCUGAUUGGUGCAUUUACAAUCCUUUAGCUAGACACAGAGUGCUGAUUGGUGCCUUUAUAAUCCUUUAGCUAGACACAAAAGUUCUACAAGUCCCCACCCAACCCAGAAGCUCCGCUGGCUUCACCUCUCGUAAGGAAAUUGAGGUUCAAACAAGUUUCAAAGUGCUAAAACUACAGUUUCUCAUUCUCUGCAACUGGAUUUCCACUCAUGUGUUUGAAUCCCAGGCUCUAAGACUUAACUUGCCAUUCUGUGACUUUAUGUUCCUGCAAUUUACACAAAGCUACUAUCUGUCACAUCUCUGGUGUUAACUUCAGACUAAACUUCUUUUUGAUUCACAAUGACCACACACUUUUUGGUUGAGGUUUUGCUAUCGGUUUAUUGUACUGGUUAAUAGAGAGCUUCUUCCAGAAAUUUGAGUAGAUGGAAGAGGAAGUAGCACAUUCCUAAAAAUGUACCAUGCCUUUCAAGUCACAAGCAUCCCUAUCACAUGGCUGUCAAGGGUGGCUCAGAAUAGGUAGAGUUAAGAAUUUAAAGUAAAUUGGUGUAAGCGAUGAAAGCUUCAUCUAAAAGCUUAUAUUACAUCAACUGAAAUGUAAAAUAAUUGGAACAUUUUCCAGGCAUCCCUGUUAUUUAUUUGUCUCUCUUUCCUUGCUUGCCUACUUCAAAAGUCAUAUGGCAUGGUGACUAGAACUGUCCUGCCAAAGAGUUUGUCAAUAUAAGAUUCCUUUCUUUGUAAACAUUCUACCUUGGGGCUUCAUUUAUAAUCAAAAGGAGUACUGUAACCUGUCAAAAAAAAGCUACCUGUGACAAUAUAUUAUGUGAUGGUUACCUGCAGUAAGGUGGUGGCAAUAAAUAAAUAAAUAAUCACAGAAUGAAACCGAGCAGAACUGUCAGAGAAAUGGUCAGAAUUCACACUCUGAAGAACACGGCUAUACAGUAAUAAUCAUAAUAAAUAGCCACUCAAUCCAAAACAUCACUGGGCGACUUGUCACAUAUAUAAUCAGUGGAGAUGUGAUUGAAGCACAAGGCUUAAGUGAAUGUCUAGAGAGCUAAUUGAUUCAUUUUUAUGGAAAUUUUACUUAUUUUAAAUGUCAUCCCUGACCAUCUUGAACUUUUACUUGAAGAUUUAUUUUUUUUUUUAAAUCACUGUUUAUUAGAUUUAGGUAUUCUGGUCUUUGUUUUUCUUUUUUAUCUAUGUAUGAUUUUUAUUUUUUUAUGCAGUGUCCUUAAGCUUCAUCAAUGAGAAGAAAUGUAUUAAAAUCCAUUUAUUCUUACCCUAAUUCUUAUAAAAUAAGAUUAAUUUUUAUAAGAUGAAGUCACUCUUAUGACUCAUUCUCUAUUAUUUUUAAAACAAACAAUAUUUUUCCUCAAAAUGUAAUGCAUUAUUUGAUCUGUUAUUGGCAAUAUUACUGUGCCCUGGUCAUUUUGGUAAGAUAAUCAAUCAUUAGUUUAUGGAAAUAAUACAAGUGAAACAUAUAUCAUUGAUUUUUUUUACUGUAGCAAAACUUUUCCUGUGCAUAGCUACAGUUAUUCUGUUUAAAAAUAUUUAAUAGUCAUUUUCCCUCCUUCUACAUGUGUCUUGAUUUCACUAUAUAUGUCUAAACUUGACUUACAUUUAUUUUAGCAUACUGCUAUUAUACACAAACUAUAAUGAGUCUUAAAAUUAUCAGGUGAGUUAAGUGUCCUGUGUUUAAAUAUUUUCUAGGAAAUUAACCCAGGGAAUUGAGGUGGAUAAUGAAUUUAAUGAUGUUAUCUAGGAAAAUAGAAAUGAUAUCUUAGAAGAAGAAACUACUCUAUAUCAUGCAUAUACAUAUGUAGCACAAAAGCAGUAAUUCAUUUAAAAAGGAUAAAUAUUGUGACAUGUAAAACUACAUAUGGUACUUUAUAAAGUUAUUAAUUUUAUUUUAGAAAAUAUGAAAAUGCAUAGUUCUAAAUGGUGUGUGCAUCUAAUUUAAAAAUGGUCAAAGUUAUCAAGAUUAUAUAUAGAUAUGUAGCUUUACAAGUAGCAUAAUUCAUUGAAACAUCUUGAAAUUCCAUGUACUGUCAAUACAUUAAAUAAAAAUUGUAAAAGAUGUUACAAUAGUUAAACAAAUAAGAAUAAGCUCAAGAGUCACUCACCUCCAAUUUGCAUCUACAGCUUUAUUUCUUCUCCUUUGGUUAACUGAACUUUCUCAAAGAUUAGUUCCUCAUUUACUGUCUUGACUUCUGCUGUUUUCCUUCUAUUAGAAAAAACCUAUGCUUAUGUUUUUCUCAUUACGACAUGAAUUAGUCUACAUGGACAAUUUUGAGAACAAUGUUGAAAAGUGUAAAGAAAAAGAACCAUUAAAAGGCCACCCAUCCCACUCUAUCCAGUGUUAAUGACAAUAGGAUAUGUAACAGAUAUUAUCAAAUAUAUUAAUAGAAAUCCAACUUCCUGCUGGAUAUUUCUCAUUUGAUUUUUGGCCAUUUCUCAAAGUAAAAUAUCUGAUUCUGAACUCAUUAUUAGUUCUGUCCAAAUUACAAUUCAUGAAAGAUGAACUUUUUAUUCAUUUUGCAACCCAUCAUCCUCAAGGCAGAAACCUGUAUUUCACUACUUUCUUUACGUUUCCUGCUAUAUAAUCAAUACCUCUUUUCACUUUCUGCUGCUACUGCAUUCGUUCUAGGCUUAUCACUUCUUGCAUAAACUUUUUAAUUAGUUCCAAACAAUCAUUAUUACUCUUCUGGACAGUAUUUCCAGAUUUUCCCAGUGAAAAUUAGUUCUGCCCUAGUAUAUGUUACAUGUUUUAUAAAACUUACUACAUUGUGGUAAAUAUGUAUGCUAUAAUUUUAUUGCACACUAGAAUGUGAGGUCUACAUUAAAAAAAGGGAAAAUGCCUUUUACAUUAUCCAAAAUCAUAGCUCAGUGCCUGGGACAUACAUAUUAAGUGAGUAAUAGAUUUAUGUUGAAUGAAUUAAAACAUCGAUGGGAAGGUGAAUAGUUUGGAAUUCAUGUGAGGUCAUGUAAAGAAAAUAAUGCAUUGGAAUAAAAAAGAAGAGGUUUAACAGAGCAGAUGUUAGAUGUAUGAACUAAGAUGACAAUAGUAAAUUCAGGUUGGUGGGCAGAAAUACUAAAAUUGACACAGAGGUAAAUAAUCUGAAAAGCAACAUACCCUACUAAAAAGGAAAAUUGUAAAUUCACAUAUUCGUUAAUUCAAUCCAUUUUUAUUGUGUAUUUAUCGAGUGCCAAGCAAUAUUCUAAGUGUUGAGAAUGACUUAAAAUAAAAGUCUGCCAUGCAUGGAAGUUAUUAACACAUUCCAAUUAGCAUAAAACUGAAAAUUAACCAACAAAUGAAUACGUAUGAUGCCCCAUGACAUAAUGCUAUGGAGGAAAAUAAAGUGCUAUGGAGAAAAAUAAAAAUAAACAAUUUGCACUAAAUACAGAAUGAUCAGGAAGAGUCUUUCUGAUAGGUGACAUUUGAGCAGAAUACUGAAGGAUGUGAGAGAAUGAGCUUUGACAAAACAUUGAAAAAAAUUUUCUGUGGGGAACAGCAAAUUGCAAUGCCGUGAAUGGAGAGUCAUUUGGGAUGUUCAUGGAAAAGAGCAGGGGUCUGUUGUGGCUGGAGCUGGAGAUAGAGAAUGAGUGUAGGAGACUGGUGGAGAACCACAAUCUUAUACAGCCCUAAAGGUAAUUGUAAGGUUUUUGGAGUCUGAAUGAAAAACGGUUCUCUCAUUUAAAGGCAGUGAAGUGGCAGGUUCUGACUUUCCCUUUAAGAGGCUGACCCUAGGAGCUCUGUGGAGAAUAAAUUUUAGGAUACUGAGUUUGGAAACAGGGAGAGUAAUUGGAAGGUAUCCUAACAAAUCAGAAAGGAGAUGGUGUUUCAAACAAGUGGUAGCAAGGAGGUGCAAAGAAACUAUUAGAUUUGGGAUAUACUGUAAAAGUAGAGCUGCUAGAGUUUGCUGGUCAAUUGUAUGUGGAAUGGAAGAAAAAGGAGGGAAAAAAGAUAGCUCUAGUAUUUUUAACCUGCGCAUCUGGAAAAAUACUGUUUCCAUUUAUUCCCAGUUUAGAAGGAGCAGAUUCGGGUAAGGAUGAUCAAGUUGUUGGUUUUGGAUUCCUAUGAGAUACCAAAAUAGAGAUGUUGAAAGUACUGUUAGUGGCUGGGCACGGUGGCUCAUGCCUGCAAUCCCAGCACUUAGGGAGGCUAAGGCAAGAGGAUCACUGGAGCUCACAAAUUUAAGGCCAGCCUGGGCAACACAGAGAAACCCCAUCUCUACAAAAAGUACAAAAAUUAGCAGGGCAUGGUGGUAUGUGCCUGUAGUCCCAGCUACUCAGGAAGCUAAGGUGGAAGGAUUGCUUGGACCUGAGAAGUGGAGGUUGCAGUGAGCUGAAAUCACGUGACUGCACUCCAACCUGGACAAUAGAGUCAGAUUUUGUCUCAAAAGAAAAGAGAAAAAAAAUGCAGUUAGAAAUACAAGCCUGGUUAUAGGAGAGACAUUGGGGCUAAAGACCUUUGACAGAUUUCAGCAUAUACCUGAAUAAAUAAAAGCAGAAGAAAGUAAAGGAAAAGCUAAAAAUAAACUAGAGUAGACAGGAAUGUACAAGGUCUAGGACAGGUGUUGGCAAACCAUAGGUUGAAGGCAAAAUCCACUACUUGUUUUUGUAAAUAAAGUUCUACUGGAACGCAAACAAGUUAAUUUGUUUCCAUAUUGUCUAUGGCUGAUUUCACCCUAGAAUUGCAAAGUUAAAUAGUUGCAACAGAGAUUUUAUGGCCCACCAAGCAUAAACCAUUUAUUAUCUGGUCAUUUACGGAAAAAAUUUACUGACCCCUGACUCAGGGGAAGGUAGUUAACAUAAUAAAAGUUGGAUUAAUUUUUACCAUGGUUUUCCCAGUACAGCCCUGGUUUAUACCUACUAUCCCAGCUUUUGGAACAAAUACAUG
Molecule: long non-coding RNA, 9549 nt
Filed under: Homo sapiens (human)
Lineage: Eukaryota; Metazoa; Chordata; Mammalia; Primates; Hominidae
Description: non-protein coding PCGEM1:5
Rfam family: Prostate-specific transcript 1 (bases 1540-1670)
Source: RNAcentral